AGCAGUCGCCGCGGGAAUACGUAGGGGGCAAGCGUUAUCCGGAAUAACUGGGCGUAAAGGGUGCGCAGGUGGUUUAACAAGUUAGUGGUGAAAGGCAUAGGCUCAACCAAUGUAAGCCAUUAAACCUGUUUAACUUGAGUGCAGGAGAGGAAAGUGGAAUUCCUAGUGUAGCGGUGAAAUGCGUAGAUAUUAGGAGGAAUACCAGUGGCGAAGGCGACUUUCUGGACUGCAGCUGACACUGAGGCACGAAAGCGUGGGGAGCAAACAGGAUUAGAUACCCCCGUAGUCCCUGUCUCUUAUACA
Molecule: ribosomal RNA, 303 nt
Filed under: uncultured bacterium
Lineage: Bacteria
Description: partial 16S ribosomal RNA
Rfam family: Bacterial small subunit ribosomal RNA
Source: RNAcentral